AACGCGAAGAACCUUACCUGGGCUCGAAAUGCUAUGGACCAGUCUGUGAAAGCAGGCCUUCCCUUAAAAGACCGUAGUAUAGGUGCUGCAUGGCUGUCGUCAGCUCGUGCCGUGAGGUGUUUGGUUAAGUCCAGCAACGAGCGCAACCCUUAUCAUUAGUUGCCAACACGUAAGGUGGGGACUCUAAUGAGACUGCCUAGGUUAACUAGGAGGAAGGCGAGGAUGACGUCAAGUCCGCAUGGCCUUUAUGUCCAGGGCUACACACGUGCUACAAUGGUCGGUACAGAGGGCUGCAAGACCGUAAGGUGGAGCAAAUCCCAGAAAGCCGAUCUCAGUUCAGAUUGUGGGCUGCAACUCGCCCACAUGAAGUCGGAAUUGCUAGUAAUGGCGUGUCAGCAAUAACGCCGUGAAUACGUUCCCGGGCCUUGUACACACCGCGCAUA
This 443-nucleotide ribosomal RNA is filed under the name uncultured bacterium. RNAcentral's name for it is "bacterial SSU rRNA". It matches the Rfam family "Bacterial small subunit ribosomal RNA", at positions 958 to 1398 of the family's 1533-position model. The record is from RNAcentral.